UGGGGUGUGGCUCAGUGGUAGAGUGCUUGCCUAGUUUGCAUGAAGCCCUGGGUUUGCUCCCCUGCACUGCAA
This 72-nucleotide transfer RNA is filed under the name Heterocephalus glaber (naked mole-rat). It matches the Rfam family "tRNA". Rfam says of the family: Transfer RNA (tRNA) molecules are approximately 80 nucleotides in length. Their secondary structure includes four short double-helical elements and three loops (D, anti-codon, and T loops). Lineage: Eukaryota; Metazoa; Chordata; Mammalia; Rodentia; Bathyergidae. The record is from Rfam by way of RNAcentral.